RNAcentral lists this long non-coding RNA (752 nucleotides) under Jatropha curcas. Its description in RNAcentral is "long non-coding RNA (JCUR_LNC000273)". The record is from RNAcentral. Lineage: Eukaryota; Viridiplantae; Streptophyta; Magnoliopsida; Malpighiales; Euphorbiaceae.
GAUAAAAAAAUAAAUUUGAAACAAUAAAUAAAAGAUACAAUGAGUUUAGACAUUCAUAUUGUAAUUAUUAAUGAUUUAAAUAAGUUUAUGAUUCUAAGUAUAGCAAGAAAAAUUAAUUCAGUUAAAAGUUGAGAUUUAUUUAGUUAAAAUUAUGUUAACAAUAGAAAUUUAUUUCUAAAUAUAAUAACAAAUUCACAAAUUAGAUAAAAAUCAAAAAUCCAGGUCAAUAGACCUCUCAGCGCAUCCAAACCUUCCACUCAAUGCCAAAAAAAAAAAAAAAAAAAAAAAUCUAUCAUUUAUUUUGCAAAUUUAGAAUAAUUUGCAACUAAUAUCUUCCGAAAUGUCUUCAUCAACAACUGUUGAACUGAGUGGAAUAAUAUUGAACCAAAAUCUUUAUUCUUAGGACAUUUGAAAUUUUAAAUUUAUAAUGCCCUAUUAGAAGAAGACUCGUUCCUUUCAAUUAUAACCUUCAACCUCAUCUCCUUCAUCCAAAGAAUCUUUCACAGAAGUAUGAAUAGUUUUCUCAUGAUUGUGCUCUUUAUCUUCGACACUGCCUUUAGUAUUCUCAUGGCGUCCAGCUUCGAUGGUUGGAAUGAGAACAAGGUUGAAGAUAAUCAGGAAUAGGAUAAAGCAAUGGCAUGGCUUCAGUUUUGUAGCCAUUAGUUAAUGUAAAUAUAAAAUAUAAAAAUUUGGGUUUGUUUAAAAAGGUUAAAGAAGUUAAUUUUUUAUAUAGAGAUUACAAUCACAGUUUG